Toxocara canis (dog roundworm) is the source of this 82-nucleotide transfer RNA. It matches the Rfam family "tRNA". Rfam says of the family: Transfer RNA (tRNA) molecules are approximately 80 nucleotides in length. Their secondary structure includes four short double-helical elements and three loops (D, anti-codon, and T loops). Lineage: Eukaryota; Metazoa; Nematoda; Chromadorea; Rhabditida; Toxocaridae. The record is from Rfam.
GCAGCGAUGUCCGAGAGGUUAAGGAGUUUGACUUGAAAUCAAAUGGGCUCUGCCCGCGUACGUUCAAAUCCUGCUCGAAGCG